CAAGACUGGAACAACACAGCAGGACAGACUGUUUUGUUGCUUCCAUAAGACAAGCAAAUUUUGAUGGAGAAGGAAAGAGACGCAAAGGACCUGAUGGAACAAAGACCUGGAGCAGCUCUGACAACAAAAUGAUAUCAGGCUUCUGUCUCCACCCACCAGGUGGAGAUGGCAUAAUGGGACCCAUGUCAGUGACACAGAAUACUCUGUCCUCUCAGCCCCAGGCUUUGUCCCCAGGGGAAGGGGCAAGAGGCUGACAACAACAGCAAAGAUAAUCACACCAACAUUUUAACAGUUCUUCUGAAUCAGUAGGAUAAUUCAACAGGCCACUUCUACAGAGUGACCAGAAAGUUGGAAAAGAGGACCACAGAGGAAAAAUUAAAAGAACUAUGAUGAUCUGUUGUAAAGCCAAGAAACUGGAAUGGUUCCUGGCACAUAGUAGAUACUGAAAUAAUAUUUGUUAAAUAAAUGAAUGAACUGUAGAAGACCAAGAAGACCAAUGGGGUUACUCAGAAGUGUGGCAGCCUACACAGGCUGCUAGAAGACGUGUGCACUGAGGGGCCAUACAACAUAAAUUUUCAGAACAUGGGCUUUGCCACAGACUCAAAAACUGAGUCAAGACCUCAGUUUCCCUGCCUGUUAAGUGGGAGUAACAAUAUUAUUGCAUCACAGAGCAGUUGGAAGCCAUAAAUGAGAUACACAUGUCAAGCAUGUAGCACCGAGUCUGACUCCUGGCAAGUGCAGAAGAGAAGAUAGCUGCAAAUGUGCCUGCCAUCACAGCCAUGAUUCUCCUGAUCACAAGAUUUGCCAGUGAUUGCCUCUUCAAUUUUCACUGACUCUCAGUUGAUUACCAUUUUCCAAAAAGCAGCAAGUGGUUUGGUUUUUGUUCUUUUGCUGCCAUCUGUAAGAGAUUGGUGACUAGCUGGGAGUGUGCCGUGGGGUGCUGAGAGGCCAGCAUUGCUAUUCUGCCUGUGAAGCACCUUGCCCCGCAUGCAGCCCUGGGGAUAAGUCUCUGCACUCAGCCGCCUUGAAGGUUUUGGGGAAUAUGGCCACAAGUGAGAAACCCAGGGUAUUGCGGGCCUGUGAGCCCACAGGACAGGGCACAGCCUGUCCAGCCUGGACGUGUGCUGGCUCUGUGACCCCUGCGCCCCCCAACCACUCAGCCUCGUGUUCUUCCUGUGGAAAACAGGACGGUGUUUCCUGCUCUGUUUCUACCAGGUUUGGAUGACCAUGACACGAAAGAGGUUAUGACGAAGAGCUUUGGCAACCCUAAACUGCUAUAUAAAUCCCCGACCGUCGUGAUGUCAUCAGCAUUGUCUGCAGCGGGAGGGGGCCCGACUAGCUGACUGGGGAUCCCCAGCUCCGUGGACAUCUCGGUGUCACCCACACCCUAUACCUCAUAGACACACGCCCUGUUCGCGGCGCCAGGAUCAAAUACCACUCUGAGAUGUGUCUCCGGGGGGUUAGAAUCCAGGCCCUCAUUCCCAGGAGCACCACCAGUGCACCCCCGGUCAGGCUGGUGGGUGUCUGCCAGAUGUGCGAGGCAGGAAAUUAGCACCAGCUCUGAAUAAACAUCUCUGCACUUUCGUAGGACUGGACUCAUCGAAGUCCCACGGUCCCCCGCCCUGACGAGACAGACACGAUCCAGCCCUCCCCAUCCCAGCCUCAACAUUUCUGGGGAGCACUCACUCUUAGGUGGCAGCACUGUCCAGGGCUCCACGAUGCCUCCUGAGGCAGACAGGCAGGGACAGGAUAUGGUGGCGCCUGUGGCCUCGGCCCGUGGGCCAGACACCUGACCCAGCCCACAGAACCAAGUCACCGCUGAGAAGCAACUUUCCUUUCACUUGGCCAGAGCCGGGCCCCAGCUGCAGCAGGCAGGGUGCUUGCCUCAGGCCCUACGUGCAUUUAUGAGAUAAAUGUUAACUGCGUGACUGCUAUGCACUAUGUACUAGGUGCUAGGAAUGCAUCAGUGAACAGAGCUGACUUUGAAUUUCCCUUCCCUUAUGGAACUUCCAUUCUAAUGUGGGGACGAUGAGGGACAGAAAAGAAAAGGUAAAGAACUAGAUUAUGAAGUGUGUUGUUGUUAAGUCGCUAAGACGUGUCCAACUUUUUUGCGACCCUAGGCACCAUAGCCCACCAGACUCCUAUGUCCAUGGAAUUCUCCAGGCAAGAAUACUGGAGAGAGUUGUCAUUUCC
Dama dama (fallow deer) is the source of this 2193-nucleotide long non-coding RNA. RefSeq lists it as uncharacterized. The transcript has 6 exons. NCBI's taxonomy places the organism in Eukaryota, Metazoa, Chordata, Mammalia, Artiodactyla, Cervidae. The record is from RefSeq and is a predicted model, not a curated record.